CUGUGCAUGACAGUCCCCGUGCACAGCACUCACAUGUCUGCGUCCUGAAACAGGUUUCAGGACGACGCUGUUGUUGUCUGCGUGACCCGCUGGCUGCAUCCUCCAGUUCCAGGGAUGCCAUGAAUGCUGUCUGAAGGGGUUGCCGGCUUGUGCUGCAACAGGUGGGGGCGCUGGUAUGCGUCUGUGGUGGCAGUGGGCAUUCCACCCUCUGCUGCACCCGCACGCCUCUCAUUAGGAGUGGGUGUGUGUCAAGCAGAAAGGGACCCGCGGAUAGGCAUGCGCGUGCGCACAGAGAGCUCGCAGCUUGUCGUGCUGAGGGAGACACAGAGGGGCAUCCAUAGACACCCGACGGGGAAGCCCCUGCAGCUCGGGUGGGACGUGCGUAAGCAGGUCAGCUUGCGCAGCGGAGAGCUGCUGCUGGUCGCUGUGCCGCGCACCGGCGAGUGCGUGCCUUGUUUCGGGGGACGCUCACCCCGCUGCCUGGCGUGCUCGAGCGUCCAGCACGCCACCUUUCAGAGGACGAAUCUUAGUUUGGCCUGCAUGACAUCCUUGCCCGCGGAGGAUGUGGGGAGUGUGGCGUGAUGAACACAGAUGGCGUGGUGCCGUGCCGGCGUACGGUUGUGCUGCAAGCCCAGGGGCCCACCACCAUGAUGGGGCGAAGAGGGCCCAGGAGGGAUGGUUCGGCGGCUCCGCAUGCACGCCUGGCCAUCUGCGAUUUGUUCUUGUGGGCGGGGCGAUGGCGUGGGAGAUCCAUGAUGCGGCGAGUGUGCUGCGGGCCGCGGUUGGGCCUCUGAGGCGCCGUGAUGUGCACAGCCGAGGAUGCCGGCGUAGGGCCGACAAACACCGCGGCUGUCUCUGUGUACCUUGCCGGCGCUGCUGGAGCCUGUCUCGCAGAACGGUCGCGUAGUCGUCGUGAGGCUAUUCGCUGGAGGAGCUUUCGCGACGGGUGGUGGUCGGAGUGACAGGGCGGGCGGAGUGAGAGUGCAGCAGGACUGCAUUCAUCUCUCGAGGCUGGAUGUAUAAUGAGCAUGACCGAGAGAGGGCGGCACGCAGGGCAGCGUCGCAAGAGCUGCUUCCAAUCGCGUCAGCUCUGGCGUGCAGAGCGCUGCGUAGGCGGCGUCACCAGAGGGGCCCGCCUUCGUGGGUGUGUUGUUGGCCGCCGUCGCGUAUCUUGCCGUGGCCUUGCGGGACACCUCGGUGUGCGUCUGCGUGACGGCGUCGGUGGUGUGCCGUGCGGUGGUGUGGUUAUGGCUUGCACACGUCAGGUGCUCAUCAUUGGGCCAAUCGUGUGGGAUGGCCCCCUCCCUGGCCGGCUGGGUCUUCAUCUCGUGUCGGACACCGGGCCGCGCGAGCCGGCCCCCGCCCCGAUGGCGUGUGGGCUGCGUGCGAUAUUGCCUGGUGUGUGGAGAUCCUCCUAUGCCGCGAGGUGACUGUUAGGUGUGCAGCCCGAGGUGGUGUGUAUGCGCCCCGCAGGGACGUGACAGCACAGCCGCAGUGCCGCUGCUGCGCCGUUGUCGUUGAGAAGAGGGGGAGCGCGUACAGUUGUGCCCGUGUCGUCCUCUGUGAGCACGGGGACGCCAGCGGCGUGCCUCCUCUCUCUUGCUGCGCCGGGGUGCUGGAAGGCUGGUACGCCUGGUGCCCUGUGGGGCCUGUAGGGCCUGUGGGAGUGAACUGCGCGUGCUGCACAAUGCAGACCCCUGUAUCGACGCUUCGUGACGGGGGCGGGCCAGCCAACAGUGGUGCGCUUCGUUGCGCGCACUGGCAGUUGCGCUGCGUCUGGCGCUGGCGGGGCCACGGGCUGCUUCCUGCAUCAGCGCCUCGCUGCCAAAUCAGAAAGCAGGAGUUGGGGGCCGUGUACUCGUUGCAUCGCCGGCACGACUCGCCGUGAGCUGGUACGAGCUUCAUGGUUGAUCGCAGUUCUCGUCAACGAGCCCGCCCAGCGCUGUCUAGCGAUACGAAGAGUGGGUACUAGACCGUGAGGUAGCACAGUGCGGUGGCCGGGCAUCACCAGGGCAAAAGCGAAGUGGUGCUGAAACAACGUGAAGCGUAUUUUCCUUCCGUAAAGAACAGAUUACUAUCGCGACGACUGCAAGCGUUGCCGGGUGGAGUCGUGCAAUGGAGGUUUUCAAGCUUUGGGGAUAGUGUAUAGCAUGAGCUGCCAGCCCUCUGUAG
Molecule: unclassified non-coding RNA, 2172 nt
Filed under: Leishmania donovani
Lineage: Eukaryota; Euglenozoa; Kinetoplastea; Trypanosomatida; Trypanosomatidae
Description: gene:unknown
Source: RNAcentral